RNAcentral lists this ribosomal RNA (365 nucleotides) under uncultured eukaryote. RNAcentral's name for it is "partial 18S ribosomal RNA". It matches the Rfam family "Eukaryotic small subunit ribosomal RNA", at positions 592 to 976 of the family's 1831-position model. The record is from RNAcentral.
CAAUAGCGUAUAUUUAAGUUGUUGCAGUUAAAAAGCUCGUAGGCGGAUUUUGGCUGAGAACGAACGGUCCGCCGUUAGGUGUGCACUGUUUGGUCUCAGCUUCCUGGUGAGGAGGUGUGCUUCACGGCCACUUAGUCACCGUGGUUACUUUGAAAAAAUUAGAGUGUUCAAAGCGGGCUUACGCUUGAAUAUAUUAGCAUGGAAUAACACCAUAGGACUCCUGUCCUAUUUCGUUGGUCUCGGGACGGGAGUAAUGAUUAAGAGGAACAGUUGGGGGCAUUCGUAUUUCAUUGUCAGAGGUGAAAUUCUUGGAUUUAUGAAAGACGAACUUCUGCGAAAGCAUUUGCCAAGGAUGUUUUCAUUGA